GGGUGAGUAACACGUGAGUAACCUGCCCCUGACUCUGGGAUAAGCCUGGGAAACUGGGUCUAAUACCGGAUACGACCAUUUCUCGCAUGGGAUGGUGGUGGAAAGUUUUUUCGGUUGGGGAUGGGCUCGCGGCCUAUCAGCUUGUUGGUGGGGUGAUGGCCUACCAAGGCGACGACGGGUAGCCGGCCUGAGAGGGCGACCGGCCACACUGGGACUGAGACACGGCCCAGACUCCUACGGGAGGCAGCAGUGGGGAAUAUUGCGCAAUGGGCGGAAGCCUGACGCAGCGACGCCGCGUGGGGGAUGACGGCCUUCGGGUUGUAAACCUCUUUCAGCAGGGACGAAGUUGACGUGUACCUGUAGAAGAAGCGCCGGCUAACUACGUGCCAGCAGCCGCGGUAAUACGUAGGGCGCAAGCGUUGUCCGGAAUUAUUGGGCGUAAAGAGCUCGUAGGUGGCUUGUCGCGUCUGCCGUGAAAGCCCGUGGCUUAACUACGGGUCUGCGGUGGAUACGGGCAGGCUAGAGGCUGGUAGGGGCAAGCGGAAUUCCUGGUGUAGCGGUGAAAUGCGCAGAUAUCAGGAGGAACACCGGUGGCGAAGGCGGCUUGCUGGGCCAGUUCUGACGCUGAGGAGCGAAAGCGUGG
RNAcentral lists this ribosomal RNA (643 nucleotides) under Microbispora sp. SBP1L6. Its description in RNAcentral is "bacterial SSU rRNA". It matches the Rfam family "Bacterial small subunit ribosomal RNA", at positions 104 to 764 of the family's 1533-position model. Lineage: Bacteria; Bacillati; Actinomycetota; Actinomycetes; Streptosporangiales; Streptosporangiaceae. The record is from RNAcentral. RNAcentral also lists the same sequence under 1 other name.